RNAcentral lists this ribosomal RNA (253 nucleotides) under uncultured bacterium. RNAcentral's name for it is "partial 16S ribosomal RNA". It matches the Rfam family "Bacterial small subunit ribosomal RNA", at positions 524 to 776 of the family's 1533-position model. The record is from RNAcentral.
UACGGGGGGGGCAAGCGUUGUUCGGAAUUACUGGGCGUAAAGGGCUCGUAGGCGGCCAACUAAGUCAGACGUGAAAUCCCUCGGCUUAACCGGGGAACUGCAUCUGAUACUGGAUGGCUUGAGUUCGGGAGAGGGAUGCGGAAUUCCAGGUGUAGCGGUGAAAUGCGUAGAUAUCUGGAGGAACACCGGUGGCGAAGGCGGCAUCCUGGACCGACACUGACGCUGAGGAGCGAAAGCCAGUGGAGCAAACGGG